AGACCCGAAACCCGGUGAUCUAGCCAUGGGCAGGUUGAAGGUUGGGUAACACUAACUGGAGGACCGAACCGACUAAUGUUGAAAAAUUAGCGGAUGACCUGUGGCUGGGGGUGAAAGGCCAAUCAAACCGGGAGAUAGCUGGUUCUCCCCGAAAGCUAUUUAGGUAGCGCCUCGUGAAUUCAUCUCCGGGGGUAGAGCACUGUUUCGGCUAGGGGGCCAUCCCGGCUUACCAACCCGAUGCAAACUGCGAAUACCGGAGAAUGUUAUCACGGGAGACACACGGCGGGUGCUAACGUCCGUCGUGAAGAGGGAAACAACCCAGACCGCCAGCUAAGGUCCCAAAGUCAUGGUUAAGUGGGAAACGAUGUGGGAAGGCCCAGACAGCCAGGAUGUUGGCUUAGAAGCAGCCAUCAUUUAAAGAAAGCGUAAUAGCUCACUGGUCGAGUCGGCCUGCGCGGAAGAUGUAACGGGGCUAAACCAUGCACCGAAGCUGCGGCAGCGACACUGUGUGUUGUUGGGUAGGGGAGCGUUCUGUAAGCCUGCGAAGGUGGCC
RNAcentral lists this ribosomal RNA (553 nucleotides) under Salmonella enterica subsp. enterica serovar Enteritidis. RNAcentral describes it as "partial 23S ribosomal RNA". It matches the Rfam family "Bacterial large subunit ribosomal RNA", at positions 711 to 1261 of the family's 2925-position model. RNAcentral also lists the same sequence under 1 other name. The record is from RNAcentral. Lineage: Bacteria; Pseudomonadati; Pseudomonadota; Gammaproteobacteria; Enterobacterales; Enterobacteriaceae.